This is a small nucleolar RNA of Prolemur simus (greater bamboo lemur), 81 nucleotides long. Its record names the gene SNORD22. It matches the Rfam family "Small nucleolar RNA SNORD22". From Rfam's summary of the family: U22 is a member of the C/D class of snoRNA which contain the C (UGAUGA) and D (CUGA) box motifs. U22 is encoded within the U22 snoRNA host gene (UHG) in mammals and has also been identified in Xenopus. The record is from Ensembl. Lineage: Eukaryota; Metazoa; Chordata; Mammalia; Primates; Lemuridae.
AUUUGAUCAGGCCUCAUCACACAUCUUACUUCCUGUCCUAGUCCCAGAGCUUGUAAAGGUGAUACCAUCAACUCUUAAAUU